This 71-nucleotide transfer RNA is filed under the name Acheilognathus imberbis. Its description in RNAcentral is "tRNA-Gly". It matches the Rfam family "tRNA". From Rfam's summary of the family: Transfer RNA (tRNA) molecules are approximately 80 nucleotides in length. Their secondary structure includes four short double-helical elements and three loops (D, anti-codon, and T loops). Lineage: Eukaryota; Metazoa; Chordata; Actinopteri; Cypriniformes; Acheilognathidae. The record is from RNAcentral.
AUCUUUCUAGUAUUAAGUUAAUACAAAUGACUUCCAAUCAUUUAAUCUUGGUUAAACCCCAGGGAAAGAUA